GAGUUUGAUCUUGGCUCAGAUUGAACGCUGGCGGCAGGCCUAACACAUGCAAGUCGAGCGGAUGACGGGAGCUUGCUCCUUGAUUCAGCGGCGGACGGGUGAGUAAUGCCUAGGAAUCUGCCUGGUAGUGGGGGACAACGUUUCGAAAGGAACGCUAAUACCGCAUACGUCCUACGGGAGAAAGCAGGGGACCUUCGGGCCUUGCGCUAUCAGAUGAGCCUAGGUCGGAUUAGCUAGUUGGUGGGGUAAUGGCUCACCAAGGCGACGAUCCGUAACUGGUCUGAGAGGAUGAUCAGUCACACUGGAACUGAGACACGGUCCAGACUCCUACGGGAGGCAGCAGUGGGGAAUAUUGGACAAUGGGCGAAAGCCUGAUCCAGCCAUGCCGCGUGUGUGAAGAAGGUCUUCGGAUUGUAAAGCACUUUAAGUUGGGAGGAAGGGCAGUAAGUUAAGUACCUUGCUGUUUUGACGUUACCGACAGAAUAAGCACCGGCUAACUCUGUGCCAGCA
This 510-nucleotide ribosomal RNA is filed under the name bacterium enrichment culture clone ALO1_GLFRUDD03HBSIJ. RNAcentral describes it as "bacterial SSU rRNA". It matches the Rfam family "Bacterial small subunit ribosomal RNA", at positions 9 to 513 of the family's 1533-position model. The record is from RNAcentral.